This 72-nucleotide transfer RNA is filed under the name Camelus bactrianus (Bactrian camel). It matches the Rfam family "tRNA". Rfam says of the family: Transfer RNA (tRNA) molecules are approximately 80 nucleotides in length. Their secondary structure includes four short double-helical elements and three loops (D, anti-codon, and T loops). Lineage: Eukaryota; Metazoa; Chordata; Mammalia; Artiodactyla; Camelidae. The record is from Rfam by way of RNAcentral. RNAcentral also lists the same sequence under 1 other name.
GUGGGCAUACCUCAGUGGUAGAGCACAUGCUUAGCAUGCAUAGGGUCCUGGGUUCAAUCCCCAGUACCUCCA